GUGGGGAAUAUUGGACAAUGGGCGAAAGCCUGAUCCAGCCAUGCCGCGUGUGUGAAGAAGGUCUUCGGAUUGUAAAGCACUUUAAGUUGGGAGGAAGGGCAGUAAGUUAAUACCUUGCUGUUUUGACGUUACCAACAGAAUAAGCACCGGCUAACUUCGUGCCAGCAGCCGCGGUAAUACGAAGGGUGCAAGCGUUAAUCGGAAUUACUGGGCGUAAAGCGCGCGUAGGUGGUUCAGCAAGUUGAAGGUGAAAUCCCCGGGCUCAACCUGGGAACUGCCUCCGAAACUACUGAGCUAGAGUACGGUAGAGGGUAGUGGAAUUUCCUGUGUAGCGGUGAAAUGCGUAGAUAUAGGAAGGAACACCAGUGGCGAAGGCGACUACCUGGACUGAUACUGACACUGAGGUGCGAAAGCGUGGGGAGCAAACAGGAUUAGAUACCCGAGUAGUCC
Molecule: ribosomal RNA, 450 nt
Filed under: uncultured bacterium
Lineage: Bacteria
Description: bacterial SSU rRNA
Rfam family: Bacterial small subunit ribosomal RNA
Source: RNAcentral